This 375-nucleotide ribosomal RNA is filed under the name uncultured organism. RNAcentral describes it as "bacterial SSU rRNA". It matches the Rfam family "Bacterial small subunit ribosomal RNA", at positions 526 to 896 of the family's 1533-position model. The record is from RNAcentral.
CGUAGGGUGCGAGCGUUGUCCGGAAUUAUUGGGCGUAAAGAGCUCGUAGGCGGUCUGUCGCGUCGGUCGUGAAAACCUGCAGCUUAACUGUGGGCUUGCGGUCGAUACGGGCAUGACUGGAGUUCGGCAGGGGGAGACUGGAAUUCCUGGUGUAGCGGUGAAAUGCGCAGAUAUCAGGAGGAACACCGGUGGCGAAGGCGGGUCUCUGGGCCGAUACUGACGCUGAGGAGCGAAAGCGUGGGGAGCGAACAGGAUUAGAUACCCUGGUAGUCCACGCCGUAAACGGUGGGCGCUAGGUGUGGGGGCCAUUCCACGGUCUCUGUGCCGCAGCUAACGCAUUAAGCGCCCCGCCUGGGGAGUACGGCCGCAAGGCUA